GUUUCCGGUCCGGUGGGUGCAAGAUGACGGAGCCGGGCGCCUCUCCCGAGGACCCUUGGGUCAAGGUGGAGUAUGCCUACAGCGACAACAGCCUGGACCCCGGUGAGUAGCCGCCCCGUCUUAAGCUCUAGAGGGACACUCCCGUCCAGGCUUUCUAGAUUCUUGUGGCCUUGCCAACCACGCCUGAGCACAGUCCACUGUCCCUGAGCAGAGUUCCUGGCUUGAGACAGCAGGAGCUGAAGGACAAGGGCAGAAAACAACUGAGGGUGACACCUAGUUCCCUCUGCUCUGGAACAGGGAAGUGGUGGAACUAGUGACAGCUGAUCACUCACACCCUCAUCACGUCCAGAUGCCCGUUUGUGAGCCAGGGGUAUCAUGCAGGCCUAUGGAGCAGUGUAGACACUAGGGAGCAGAGCACUGCAGCGUGGUCUGGCAGGAAGUGGGGGGCCCAGUAUGGUUGGCUUUGAGUUGAAGGGAAGAGGUCAGCAUUUAAGAAAGCCAUUGUGUGGCCGGGCGCGGUGGCUCACUCCUG
This 532-nucleotide small RNA is filed under the name Pongo abelii (Sumatran orangutan). Its description in RNAcentral is "retained intron". The record is from RNAcentral. Lineage: Eukaryota; Metazoa; Chordata; Mammalia; Primates; Hominidae.